This 253-nucleotide ribosomal RNA is filed under the name uncultured bacterium. Its description in RNAcentral is "partial 16S ribosomal RNA". It matches the Rfam family "Bacterial small subunit ribosomal RNA", at positions 524 to 776 of the family's 1533-position model. The record is from RNAcentral.
UACGUAGGGUGCAAGCGUUGUCCGGAAUUAUUGGGCGUAAAGAGCUCGUAGGCGGUCUGUCGCGUCGGCUGUGAAAACCCGGGGCUCAACCCCGGGCCUGCAGUCGAUACGGGCAGACUAGAGUGCGGUAGGGGAGACUGGAAUUCCUGGUGUAGCGGUGAAAUGCGCAGAUAUCAGGAGGAACACCGGUGGCGAAGGCGGGUCUCUGGGCAACAACUGACGCUGAGGAGCGAAAGCGUGGGGAGCGAACAGG